GUCGGUGUAGUAUAGUGGUUAGUACUUCUCGUUGUGGUAACAUGGGUUUACCCCUGUUUGUCUGUUCCGAGAGGACCCAUGUUCGAUUCAUGGCACCGACA
Molecule: transfer RNA, 101 nt
Filed under: Morchella conica CCBAS932
Lineage: Eukaryota; Fungi; Ascomycota; Pezizomycetes; Pezizales; Morchellaceae
Description: tRNA-His
Rfam family: tRNA
About the family: Transfer RNA (tRNA) molecules are approximately 80 nucleotides in length. Their secondary structure includes four short double-helical elements and three loops (D, anti-codon, and T loops).
Source: RNAcentral